This 253-nucleotide ribosomal RNA is filed under the name uncultured bacterium. RNAcentral describes it as "partial 16S ribosomal RNA". It matches the Rfam family "Bacterial small subunit ribosomal RNA", at positions 524 to 776 of the family's 1533-position model. The record is from RNAcentral.
UACGUAGGUGGCAAGCGUUAUCCGGAAUUACUGGGCGUAAAGCGCACGCAGGCGGCUAGUCAAGUUCGACGUGAAAGCUCCCGGCUUAACUGGGAGAGGUCGUUGAAAACUGGUUAGCUUGAGGCAAUGAGAGGGGUGUAGAAUUCCCGGUGUAGUGGUGGAAUGCGUAGAUAUCGGGAGGAAUACCAGUGGCGAAAGCGGCACCCUAGCGUUAGCCUGACGCUCAUGUGCGAAAGCGUGGGGAGCGAACGGG